This 527-nucleotide ribosomal RNA is filed under the name uncultured bacterium. Its description in RNAcentral is "bacterial SSU rRNA". It matches the Rfam family "Bacterial small subunit ribosomal RNA", at positions 355 to 874 of the family's 1533-position model. The record is from RNAcentral.
CUAAGAAUCUUCCACAAUGGGCGCAAGCCUGAUGGAGCGACGCCGCGUGCAUGAUGAAGGUCUUCGGAUUGUAAAGUGCUUUCGGGGAGGAAGAAUAAGCAGAUGUGAACAGCGUCUGUGAUGACGACCCUUCCAGAAGAAGCUCCGGCUAACUACGUGCCAGCAGCCGCGGCAAUACGUAGGGAGUAAGCGUUGUUCGGAAUUACUGGGCGUAAAGGGUGUGUAGGCGGGGUCGCAAGUUGGGGGUGAAAUCUACGGGCUCAACCCGUAAACUGCCCUCAAAACUGUGAUUCUUGAGUAUGGGAGAGGAGAUUGGAAUUCCCAGUGUAGGGGUGAUAUCUGUAGAUAUUGGGAAGAACACCAGUGGCGAAGGCGAAUCUCUGGCCUAAUACUGACGCUGAGACACGAAAGCGUGGGGAGCAAACAGGAUUAGAUACCCUGGUAGUCCACGCCCUAAACGUUGUACACUAGAUGUCGGGGGUAUCGAUUCCCCCGGUGCCGCAGCUAACGCAAUAAGUGUACCGCCU